This 207-nucleotide ribosomal RNA is filed under the name uncultured bacterium. RNAcentral's name for it is "partial 16S ribosomal RNA". It matches the Rfam family "Bacterial small subunit ribosomal RNA", at positions 568 to 774 of the family's 1533-position model. The record is from RNAcentral.
CGCGUAGGCGGUCUGGUAAGUCCGAUGUUAAAGACCGGGGCUCAACCCCGGCAUGGCGUUGGAUACUGGCAGGCUUGACGGCUGGAGAGGCGAGUGGAAUUACCAGUGUAGCGGUGGAAUGCGUAGAUACUGGUAGGAACACCCAUUGCGAAGGCAGCUCGCUGGACAGCACGUGACGCUGAGGCGCGAAAGUGUGGGGAGCAAACC